This 88-nucleotide transfer RNA is filed under the name Bacteroidota bacterium. RNAcentral's name for it is "Bacteroidetes bacterium tRNA-Ser". It matches the Rfam family "tRNA". Rfam says of the family: Transfer RNA (tRNA) molecules are approximately 80 nucleotides in length. Their secondary structure includes four short double-helical elements and three loops (D, anti-codon, and T loops). RNAcentral also lists the same sequence under 3 other names. Lineage: Bacteria; Pseudomonadati; Bacteroidota. The record is from RNAcentral.
GGAGAGAUGCAGGAGUGGUUGAACUGGCACGCCUGGAGAGCGUGUGUACCCCUCAAGGGUACCGUGGGUUCGAAUCCCACUCUCUCCG